UAGAUGCGAGAGUAGAGCAUAUCAAUAAGCGGAGGAAAAGAAACUAACAAGGAUUCCCUUAGUAACGGCGAGUGAAGCGGGAAGAGCUCAAAUUUGAAAUCUUCAAGGUUUUACCUUGACGAAUUGUAGUUUAAAGAAGUGUUUUCUGUUGGAGUUUUGGUAAAAGUUCUUUGGAAUAGGACAUCAUAGAGGGUGAGAAUCCCGUAUUUGACCAUUAUUUCCAGCUGUGUGAUACACUUUCAAAGAGUCGGAUUGUUUGGGAAUGCAGUCCAAAAUGGGUGGUAAAUUUCAUCUAAAGCUAAAUAUUGGCGAGAGACCGAUAGCGAACAAGUACCGUGAGGGAAAGAUGAAAAGAACUUUGAAAAGAGAGUUAAACAGUACGUGAAAUUGUCAAAAGGGAAGCGUUUGACACCAGUGUUGUUUUCUCGAAAAUCAAUUAAAAAUGAUGGGAUUUUGUGUUGUAUUGACUUUAUCAGCUUUCUGCACUUUUUUCUUAUCUUUUUUAAUGCACUUUUCGUUUAACAAGUCAACAUCAAUUUCUUUUGUUGUAAAAGAGUCAUUGGAAGGUGGCUUUUCUUUCGGAAAAAGUGUUUAUAGCCUUUGGCUUCUGCAAUCGGAGAGAUUGAGGUCUGCAGCGUAGAUCCUUCGGGGUUAGAUACGUUUGUGCUAAGUUAUAGCUUUUCAUAGACAACUUGUUGACUAUGUUUAGUCUUGUAGCUUACUCGCUGACGCUAUUUUACCUACGCUUAGGAUGUUGACACACGCGCGUGCUCG
Molecule: ribosomal RNA, 774 nt
Filed under: uncultured Neocallimastigales
Lineage: Eukaryota; Fungi; Neocallimastigomycota; Neocallimastigomycetes; Neocallimastigales
Description: partial large subunit ribosomal RNA
Rfam family: Eukaryotic large subunit ribosomal RNA
Source: RNAcentral